UCCAAUCGGGUGCGAGUGAUCACGCAGAGGACGCGUGAUCACAAGCGUGACGUUCACGUGCUACCCGGCUGAUAUCAGCGGCCGAGGCCGUGAUGUUUACGUCAUGAAAGCGUGUCUGACUAGGGCUACGUCACAGGCACGCAAACUGACAGGCCAUCUGUCAUCGGUGGCGUACGAAUUAAUCACCGACUCUUAGUUAUUUGUGGAGGACUUAGUAUUAUUUCCCAAAAUUCUCCAAGGCCUCACUACCAAAAAUACAAUUUCCCGAAAUUUUCCUGAUCCUGCCAGUCACCUCUUUAAGAAAUUGGCUCGCAGACAACGGAAGAUUUUGUAGGUGUGCAAAAUGAGGCAACAUUAAUUUUCGUCUUCGGCGUGAUUUUUAUUACAUAAUGGUCCAAAAGUGACGAUUUGGUGAUUAUUUGGCCAACCAUUGGCGAAUUUUGAUAAGCAAAGCAUUUGGAAUAUCCUUGACAUGUGGUGUGUGUGAUCACUUUAUGUUAAUUAAGUGUUUAUGGUCGAUAUCAAAUCUUAUUUAAAAAUCCCGGUUUCCAGUUUUAUUUUCGGAUGUUUUCAGAGAAAAUGUUUACUUCUUGUCCACGUGCUGUAAGGAAUGGCUUACUUUGCUUUCAUCGUGUUCAUAAUUAUUUACUAAUCAUUAAAUACACAUUUGUUUCUUCUUUUUUUAGUUUGGAACCAUAAGGUAUAGGACCCCAAACUCGGGUAUAAGAUGUAGGCUAAUCAAGGAAGUACAAGGUCCAGCACAGUAUGCCUGACAAAUUGAUUUGAAACAAUUUUUUUUUUCAAAAAAAGUUCCUGUAAUAAAUAUAUAAACAAAUUUUUUGGAUAAGUUGUUUUCUAUUAUUUUUUUAACCCAGUAUGCUGCCCAUUUUUCCAAAUGGGAAAAAUAUAUAUGCCCUCGGACUUAUCUUUUUGUUGCUAUUGACAAAGAAUAAUUUUUAUAAAUGUGCGACUAAAUAAUAUUUCCAGACUUGUGACGCAUCCUAUUUGUUUAUCAAUGUGACAUUCCCAUAGCGUUAUUUGUGUUCGUCCAUUUGUCAAUAUUUCCCGCCUGUAUUUACCUGUAUGAAGACAUCACAUCAACAUUGCGCAAAUCUUUUCUAUUUUUGUCACGAUUUUUCUAAAGUUUAUCAUCAUUAAAUAUUGUUGUUGUGUGAUGACUUGAUGAGGAUUGAACGAGGUCAGCAAACAUGACUCAUUUUUGUAAACAAUAAAAUUUAACGUAAUAAACAGUCGUGGGUGUGUU
Tribolium castaneum (red flour beetle) is the source of this 1264-nucleotide long non-coding RNA. RefSeq lists it as uncharacterized. Lineage: Eukaryota; Metazoa; Arthropoda; Insecta; Coleoptera; Tenebrionidae. The transcript is spliced from 2 exons. The record is from RefSeq and is a predicted model, not a curated record.